CCCUUAGAGUUUGAUCCUGGCUCAGGACGAACGCUGGCGGCGUGCCUAACACAUGCAAGUCGAGCGAGGAAGAGGAGAUAGCUUGCUAACUCCUGUUUCUAGCGGCGGACGGGUGAGUAACGCGUGAGCAACCUGCCUUUAUCAGGGGGAUAACGCAUCGAAAGAUGUGCUAAUACCGCGUAAGACCACAGCCUCACAUGGGGCAGGGGUCAAAGGAGCAAUCCGGAUAAAGAUGGGCUCGCGUCCGAUUAGCUAGUUGGUGAGAUAACAGCCCACCAAGGCGACGAUCGGUAGCCGACCUGAGAGGGUGAUCGGCCACAUUGGAACUGAGAGACGGUCCAGACUCCUACGGGAGGCAGCAGUGGGGAAUAUUGGGCAAUGGGCGAAAGCCUGACCCAGCAACGCCGCGUGAGGGAAGAAGGGUUUCGGCUCGUAAACCUCUGUCCUAUGGGACGAAGGAAGUGACGGUACCAUAGGAGGAAGCCCCGGCUAACUACGUGCCAGCAGCCGCGGUAAUACGUAGGGGGCGAGCGUUGUCCGGAAUGAUUGGGCGUAAAGGGCGCGUAGGCGGCCUGCUAAGUCUGAAGUGAAAGUCCUGCUUUCAAGGUGGGAAGUGCUUUGGAUACUGGUGGGCUGGAGUGCAGGAGAGGAAAGCGGAAUUACCGGUGUAGCGGUGAAAUGCGUAGAGAUCGGUAGGAACACCAGUGGCGAAGGCGGCUUUCUGGACUGAAACUGACGCUGAGGCGCGAAAGCGUGGGGAGCAAACAGGAUUAGAUACCCUGGUAGUCCACGCGGUAAACGAUGAAUGCUAGGUGUAGGA
RNAcentral lists this ribosomal RNA (820 nucleotides) under uncultured bacterium. RNAcentral describes it as "bacterial SSU rRNA". It matches the Rfam family "Bacterial small subunit ribosomal RNA", at positions 1 to 827 of the family's 1533-position model. The record is from RNAcentral.